This 484-nucleotide ribosomal RNA is filed under the name uncultured bacterium. RNAcentral describes it as "partial 16S ribosomal RNA". It matches the Rfam family "Bacterial small subunit ribosomal RNA", at positions 30 to 507 of the family's 1533-position model. The record is from RNAcentral.
AUUGAACGCUGGCGGCAGGCCUAACACAUGCAAGUCGAGCGGAUGAAGGGAGCUUGCUCCUGGAUUCAGCGGCGGACGGGUGAGUAAUGCCUAGGAAUCUGCCUGGCAGUGGGGGAUAACGUCCGGAAACGGGCGCUAAUACCGCAUACGUCCUGAGGGAGAAAGUGGGGGAUCUUCGGACCUUACGCUAUCAGAUGAGCCUAGGUCGGAUUAGCUAGUUGGUGGGGUAAAGGCCUACCAAGGCGACGAUCCGUAACUGGUCUGAGAGGAUGAUCAGUCACACUGGAACUGAGACACGGUCCAGACUCCUACGGGAGGCAGCAGUGGGGAAUAUUGGACAAUGGGCGAAAGCCUGAUCCAGCCAUGCCGCGUGUGUGAAGAAGGUCUUCGGAUUGUAAAGCACUUUAAGUUGGGAGGAAGGGCAGUAAGUUAAUACCUUGCUGUUUUGACGUUACCAACAGAAUAAGCACCGGCUAACUUCGUG